This is a long non-coding RNA of Mytilus californianus (California mussel), 2136 nucleotides long. RefSeq lists it as uncharacterized. The transcript is spliced from 3 exons. The record is from RefSeq and is a predicted model, not a curated record. NCBI's taxonomy places the organism in Eukaryota, Metazoa, Mollusca, Bivalvia, Mytilida, Mytilidae.
UCCCAGUGAUGGUUUGGCAGAUAAAUGUUUACAGUGAAGUUUGUGACUUUAAUAAUCUAGGAUGAGCAUGUGGGCUAUCCCAGCCUUAUACAUCUACAUAUUACAAACUAUUUAAGAUAUCUGAAUGCACUAAAGACCAAAAUAGCAUUUCCAAAAAAAAUAAUUACUGCCAAGAAAUAUGACAAUCAUGACAAUAAUUUAGUGAAUAAACAUGAUAAAUAUUGAUUGGAAAAAUAAGUCCAUGAACAGCAAAAAGUGUUUUUAGAUUUCAACGAGCAAAACAAAAGUAUUCUAAAUCAUUCUUCGUAAAAAAAAAAGUGAGCUAGUGGAACCACCUUGCUCGCACCAAAAUUGAGAUUGAGAGUGUCAAAACUGCUCUGGCGCACCAUCAAUAAAUCAACGACACUCUCUCUACCGUGGUAUUGAAACCAGCAUUGGUAACCAAACAUAUUCAUACAGAUACAGACUACCAUUCAUCUACAUUUAGGAAGUCUGGAUAAUACUGAAAACUAUGGUGUAGAAUUUCCAACAGGACUCCUUAUUUUAUAUAAGACAAGGAGUGGUUUAUUUUCCCAUGGUUGUUACAUCAUCUAGUCUUUGAAUAUGCUCGAAGUACAGGGACUUUUAUGGAAUUCAUUGACAUGAUAGUCAAGCAAGAUGUCAACAUCUUGUCCAACCCUCUUCCAGCAAAGCCAAAGCUGACCAAGGAUCUUCACCCUUUCAAAACAGGCUGUAUACAGGACAAGUUAUUCCAGUAGGAACAGGGCUAUAUAUAUGCAAGCAAUGCUCAAUUAAGAUGAAUUUUUGUAAAAGUGACAAUAGCCAGGUCAAACUAAAUACAUGUAUAGAAGAAGAUAUUGAUCUAGACUCGCAGCUAACCUUUCUGUCAGUGUCAACAACAACUGAACUUUCACAGCAGUCAACAUCAGAUUGGGAGACUGAUAAUGCUUCUAACAGAAACAAUUUCAACCAACCAAACAAGCAACAGAAACUUUCCAACUUUAAAACAUCAGUUAAAUUCCAUGGGAUGAUGUCUCAAAAAAUAACAGUUCAUCAUUUAUGGAGAUUUUAAUGUUAUGGUUUUUCUUUUACAAGAAAGUUAAUGUACACUUGUUUUAUAGUAAAACCUAUAGCCGUUCAAGUAUAAAAAAACACAUUCAACUUUAUUGAAAUUUGAAGAUUCAUAUGAUUUAUUUUAAUUCUGUUAUCUCCGAAGAUGUGAUGUAGAGCAUUAUAGGUACAGUAAUCUUAACAGCUAUCCAAUUUCAUUCAAAAUUCUUUAUAAAUUUUGCACUGGUAUAUAUAGACUAAGUAAUUUGUUUUUCGUCUAGUUAUGGGAUUUUUUUUUAGAAGCAUUUAUGAUUUUCAUGUUUGUAUUGACCACAUUGCAGCAACAUAGAUAUAGGUACCUGGCAAAUCUUGCCUUGUUAGCAUACUAGGCUCAAAGGGUCAUAAAAAAAUUUCCAUCACUAAGUGUCUGUUAAAAUCAUCUGUUUACAGUUUUCACUUUUAAACCAUCAUCUUAAUAACUUUAGAAGAAGUGUCAUACAUAUAUAUAUGUAUACAAAAUUUAAAAACUUUUCAAUAUAUUUGGUGUACAAAAACCUUUGCACCUUUUGUUUGCGGUAUACCAUCUUUUUCGCAAGUUUAUUGUUUUCUGUUUAGUAUUAAAUUUAUAAUUAAGAUCCAUUUAUUACAUGGGUGAUCCGUUUAUUUGGCAAUCGCCAAUGGCAGUCAGCAGGGUUUAAGAACAUCAGUUGUUCGACCUGCUAGUCAAAUGCGUUUUGUUAAAAUAUACUUUUAUACUCAUUUGGUCCAUGUUGUCCCUGAAAUGUGUAAAUUUACAAAUUUUCACAGUUUUCUGCUACUAUCCAACAACUAUAUCAAUAUAUUAUAAGAAUAAAUUGCAAAAGUGGUCAAAAGAAACUUUUUUUUUACAGUCUGAACUUAUUCUGAAUUGUUUAACUUCUAAUUUAAAUUGAUUGCGUUUGAAAUAUGUGUUUUUUAUCGUUUUAGGUGCUCAAUUUGUCAAUACGAUCUAUUUCGGCUCCUGGGAGCCUCUAGAUUUAUAAUGAAUAAUUUGUAUUUAUGUAUGAUUAUUUUCUUAAUGUAUUAAAUGAAACAUUAAUUAUUCUU